AGGAUCUGGAUAAAGCCGGACACCAGGAGAUCUUGCUCAUUCCCAGCCCAGGGGAGCCACCAAGAAGAGGAAGAAUGGAGACACCACCUAAAGCCAAAAAGGGGAUGUUCGGGCUGAAGCUGAAGAAGAAGAAGAAGAAAGCAGAGAAGGGGUUAAUCCUAGCCAACAAGGGGGCCCAAGGUGAGGCGUUUCGGGGGUGGGGAGGGACCACUACCCUGGGGCCUACUGGUAUCACAGACUUGAUGGCUCC
RNAcentral lists this long non-coding RNA (250 nucleotides) under Sus scrofa (pig). RNAcentral's name for it is "lncRNA (ENSSSCG00060017176.1)". Lineage: Eukaryota; Metazoa; Chordata; Mammalia; Artiodactyla; Suidae. The record is from RNAcentral.